AUUGAACGCUGGCGGCAUGCCUUACACAUGCAAGUCGAACGGCAGCGACGGGGGCAACCCUGGUGGCGAGUGGCGAACGGGUGAGUAACUACAUCGGAACGUGCCCGGUAGUGGGGGAUAGCUCGGCGAAAGCCGGAUUAAUACCGCAUACGACCCACGGGUGAAAGCGGGGGAUCGCAAGACCUCGCGCUAGCGGAGCGGCCGAU
Molecule: ribosomal RNA, 206 nt
Filed under: uncultured bacterium
Lineage: Bacteria
Description: partial 16S ribosomal RNA
Rfam family: Bacterial small subunit ribosomal RNA
Source: RNAcentral